Molecule: long non-coding RNA, 377 nt
Filed under: Nicotiana tabacum (common tobacco)
Lineage: Eukaryota; Viridiplantae; Streptophyta; Magnoliopsida; Solanales; Solanaceae
Description: long non-coding RNA (NTAB_LNC013483)
Source: RNAcentral
ACUCUAAUGCUGACCAACUGGGGAAAAGUUCAGCUUAGGGUUUAAAACCCCAAAGCUGACUAAAGGAAAAGUUCAGUUUAGGGUUUAAAGCCCUAAUUCUGACUAAAAAUGGAAAAGUUCAGUUUAGGGUUUAAAACCCUAAUGCUGACUAAAAAUGGAAAAGUUCAGUUUAGGGUUUAAAACCCUAAUGCUGACUGAAGGAAAAAGUUCAGUUUAGGGUUUAAAACCCUAAUGCUGACUGAAUGGAAAAGUUUAGUUUAGCGUUUAAAACCCUAAUGCUGACUGAAUGGAAAAAUUCAGUUUAGGGUUGUAAAACCCUAAUGCUGACUGAAGGAAAAAGUUUAGUUUAGGGUUUAAAACCCUAAUACUGACUGAAU